This 468-nucleotide ribosomal RNA is filed under the name uncultured bacterium. RNAcentral describes it as "partial 16S ribosomal RNA". It matches the Rfam family "Bacterial small subunit ribosomal RNA", at positions 28 to 507 of the family's 1533-position model. The record is from RNAcentral.
GACGAACGCUGGCGGCGUGCUUAACACAUGCAAGUCGAACGGAAAGGCCCUGCUUUUGUGGGGUGCUCGAGUGGCGAACGGGUGAGUAACCCGUGAGUAACCUUCCCUUUACUUUGGGAUAACUUCAGGAAACUGGGGCUAAUACCGGAUAGGAGCUCCUGCUGCAUGGUGGGGGUUGGAAAGUUUGGGCGGGUGGGGAUGGACUCGCGGCUCAUCAGCUUGUUGGUGGGGUAGUGGCUUACCAAGGUUUUGACGGGUAGCCGACCUGGGAGGGUGACCGGCCACAAUGGGACUGAGGGACGGCCCAGACGCGUACGGGAGGCAGCAGGGGGGAAUAUUGCACAAUGGGCGGAAGCCUGAUGCAGCAACGCCGCGUGCGGGAUGACGGCUUUCGGGUUGUAAACCGCUGUGGCCUGAGACGAAGAGAGAGUGACGGUAAUGGGUAAAGAAGCACCGGCUAACUACGUG